GACGAACGCUGGCGGCGUGCUUAACACAUGCAAGUCGAGCGGUAAGGCCCUUUCGGGGUACGACGAGCGGCGAACGGGUAGGAGUAACAACGUGGGUGGACCUCGCCCUCCAGCUCUGGGAGUAAGCCUGGGAAACGUGGGUCUAAUACUGGAUAUGACUCCACGGUGCACGUCGUGGGGUGGAAAGCCUUGUGCGGCUGAGGAUGGGCCCGGCCGGCCUAUCAGCUUGUUGGUGGGGUGAUGGCCUACCAAGGCGACGACGGGUA
This 266-nucleotide ribosomal RNA is filed under the name uncultured bacterium. RNAcentral's name for it is "partial 16S ribosomal RNA". It matches the Rfam family "Bacterial small subunit ribosomal RNA", at positions 28 to 285 of the family's 1533-position model. The record is from RNAcentral.